GACGGACGGUGCAAGCGUUGCUCGGAAUCACUGGGCGUAAAGGGUGCGUAGGCGGCCGUGCAAGUCUGGCGUGAAAGCCCCGGGCUCAGCCCGGGAAGUGCGCUCGAAACUGCGCGGCUCGAGUGCCGGAGGGGAGAGUGGAAUUCCUGGUGUAGCGGUGAAAUUCGUAGAUAUUAGGAAGAACACCAGUGGCGAAGGCGGCUCACUGGACCGGAACUGACGCUGAGGCGCGAAAGCGUGGGGAGCAAACAGG
RNAcentral lists this ribosomal RNA (253 nucleotides) under uncultured bacterium. RNAcentral's name for it is "partial 16S ribosomal RNA". It matches the Rfam family "Bacterial small subunit ribosomal RNA", at positions 524 to 776 of the family's 1533-position model. The record is from RNAcentral.